RNAcentral lists this ribosomal RNA (369 nucleotides) under uncultured bacterium. RNAcentral's name for it is "bacterial SSU rRNA". It matches the Rfam family "Bacterial small subunit ribosomal RNA", at positions 28 to 423 of the family's 1533-position model. The record is from RNAcentral.
GAUAAACGCUGGCGGCGUGCCUAACACAUGCAAGUCGAACGAUCCCGCAAGGGAGAGUGGCGGAAGGGUGAGUAACACGUGGGAAUCUACCUCCUCGCAGGGAACAACCUCUCGAAAGAGAGGCUAAUACCCAAAGGGUCAGAAAUGAUCAGAGUCGAAAGGCGUGAGGAGAGGAGCCCGCGGCCCAUCAGCUAGUUGGUGAGGUAAUGGCUUACCAAGGCUACGACGGGUAGGGGAUCUGAGAGGAUGUCCCCCACACUGGAACUGAAACACGGUCCAGACGCCUACGGGUGGCAGCAGUGAGGAAUACUGGACAAUGGGCGAAAGCCCGAUCCAGCAACGCCGCGUGGAGGAUGAAGGCCUUCGGUC